AUUAAAGGAACAAAAGGUUUUGAGCUGAACGUGAACCCCAGAGAGCAGCUGGGUCUAGAGAAGAUCCUAGAGAGAUGACUGGCUGUCAUUUAACACAGCCCUGUCGGUCUAUGGAUCAGGAAACAGAGACUCAGAGACAGGAAAUGAACUCUCCAGGGUUGUUCAGGCCUGUUCAACUCUUCAUGACCCCCAUUUGGGGUUCAGAUACUGGAGUGGUUUGCCAUUUCCUUCUCCAGUUCAUUUUACAGAGAAGGAAACUGAGUCAAACAGAGCUCCAGCUCCAGUCCCUUGAAAUCCCUAAGAGACACCAAGUGCUCCCAGAUACUCACAUGAUGACAAACCACCUUCAGACACAACCAUUCUCUGCUUCCUGGUUGCAAAAAAGGCAGCAGAGUGCCCAGAUGAGGGCAUGGACAUGGAGAGGUUUAUGGAGCCAAUGGGAUUGGGCAAGGACUUCUUCAGCAUCUGCUAUCCUCCAGGCACUGGACUGGUCCUUGGAAGAGGCCUGAGCAGCUCCACCAACCCCAUCCACCAACGGAUCAAUCCCCACUGUAACCAGCCUGAUAAGAAGUGAACCAGCUUGUCAUCGGAGACUUCUCUGGCCUCUCAAAUCAGCAGCGGAUUCUACUUCAGGCAGCUUUCACUAGAAGAUGGUGCCUGCCAUCAAGCCUAAGUUUUCCUCUUUAUAACUGCUACCCACGGCCUUCCUGCUUCUGCCCUCUGGAGUCAAAUAGAACCUGGCUAAUCCUUCCCCCACAUAACACCCCUUCACAUAUUAGAAAACAGAAGCCUUCUCCCCUCCGGUAUAACCAUGCACACUCCCAGCCUUCUUUUGGACAGCCAUCAUUUCCCUCUUCUUCAGUGUCCUGAAGGGCCAUGACCAGACUCGGUUGUUCAGCAAGCCUAGAACAAGCUCCUCCCAAGUGCCAGGCACUGGGAGUACCAAGACAAAAAUAAAAUAGUCCCUGCCCUCA
RNAcentral lists this long non-coding RNA (974 nucleotides) under Phascolarctos cinereus (koala). Its description in RNAcentral is "lncRNA (ENSPCIG00000033402.1)". Lineage: Eukaryota; Metazoa; Chordata; Mammalia; Diprotodontia; Phascolarctidae. The record is from RNAcentral.